GCUAAACGCUGGCGGCGUGUCUUAGCCAUGCAAGUCGAGCGGACUUAUGGGGUAACUUAUAAGUCAGCGGCGGACGGCGGAGUAACACGUAGCUAACCUACCCUCUGGACGGGGGAUAACCUACCGAAAGGUGGGCUAAUACCCGAUGUAGUCAUCCUGUAUAGGGGUGAUGAAAGGUGGGCUUCUGUUUACAAGCUCAUGCUGGAGAGGGGGCUGCGGCCUAUCAGGUAGUUGGUAGGGUAAUAGCCUACCAAGCCGAUGACGGGUAGCCGGCCUGAGAGGGUGACCGGCCCGAGGGGCACUGAGAUACGGGUCCCACUCCUACGGGAGGCAGCAGGCUAGAAAUUUGGGCAAUGGGGGAAACCCUGACCCAGUGACGCCGCGUGCAGGAAGGAGCCCUUCGGGGUGUAAACUGCUGUCGUGUAGGGAGAAGGGUACUAAGGUGAACAAUCUUAGUACUUGACGGUACUACAGGAGGAAGCCCAGGCUAACCUCGUG
RNAcentral lists this ribosomal RNA (498 nucleotides) under uncultured bacterium. Its description in RNAcentral is "bacterial SSU rRNA". It matches the Rfam family "Bacterial small subunit ribosomal RNA", at positions 28 to 507 of the family's 1533-position model. The record is from RNAcentral.